Molecule: ribosomal RNA, 441 nt
Filed under: uncultured bacterium
Lineage: Bacteria
Description: partial 16S ribosomal RNA
Rfam family: Bacterial small subunit ribosomal RNA
Source: RNAcentral
CCUACGGGGUGCAGCAGUGGGGAAUAUUGCACAAUGGGGGAAACCCUGAUGCAGCGACGCCGCGUGAGUGAAGAAGUACUUCGUUAUGUAAAGCUCUAUCAGCAGGGAAGAAAAUGACGGUACCUGAGUAAGAAGCCCCGGCUAACUACGUGCAAGCAGCCGCGGUAAUGCGUAGGGGGCAAGCGUUAUCCGGAUUUACUGGGUGUAAAGGGAGCGUAGAGGGCAGUGCAAGUCUGGUGUGAAAGGCUGGGGCUCAACCCCCGGACUGCCCGGGAAACUGUAAGGUUGGAGUGCAGGAGGGGGAAGUGGAAUUCCGAGUGUAGCGGUGGAAUGCGUAGAUAUUAGGGGGAACACCAGUGGCGAAGGCGGCUUACUGGACUUUAACUGACGUUGAGGCUCGAAAGCGUUGGGAGCAAACAGGAUUAGAUACCCCUGGUAGUC